GCCCCGGCGGGCCUGGGCUGGAAGGGGGCGGGCCUGCCCUUCAGCCCCUCGCCUGGUCGACCCCGGAGAGUAUUUGAAGCUCGCGCUUCCUCCACCGCCCGAGCUCCAGACCCUUCUUCCCAGCGCGGCGCGACGGCCCCAAGUGGAUGGGCUGUCUCUGGUGAACACGUCCAACUCCAGAGGCUGUGACUCUGGGGACCUUCGUGACCCCAAGACAGGGUCACACACCCGUGGCAUUUGGUCGCCAAAUUCCAGACAAGGACCCCCAUUCAACCGACUGGCUCCAAGCUGAGCCUUGGAGAGGUGGCUGGGGACAGGAGGAAAAGACAGAGCCCCCCACGCAUUGCCAGGAUUUCUCUUUCCGUAUCCCAGCCUCCCUGCUCCCUGGGGCACACAGGUGGAUGGCGGAGGCAGCCAGUGAAGGCACCAACCGAGGGGCAGGUGAGGUCACUGGGGGCGGGGGAUGCGGGGGAGCAAGAAGGAGAAGCAGCUUUGCCUGAGGGGCCACAGCUGGGAGGACAGCCGGGAAGCCUUCUGGGCUGAGGCUUGUGAGAUGGCUGGAAGUUAGCCAGGAGGACAAGCGCUUCCAGGCAGGAGGAACAGCAUCUGCAAAGGCUCAGCGCACGGCGCAACCUGGUGGGACUGGAGUCCCGCUGGUUCUUGAAACCCAGGGGCAUGAACACUAUCCUCUAGGCAUUGGAGAUGCAAAUGGCCUUAAGCAAAGGAGUGAGCCGGUACACGCUACAGAAGGACGCACGUAGCGUGGUCCUCUUAGACGA
RNAcentral lists this long non-coding RNA (779 nucleotides) under Sus scrofa (pig). RNAcentral's name for it is "lncRNA (ENSSSCG00065076941.1)". Lineage: Eukaryota; Metazoa; Chordata; Mammalia; Artiodactyla; Suidae. The record is from RNAcentral.